GAUGAACGCUAGCGGCAGGCUUAACACAUGCAAGUCGAGGGGCAGCACGGGUAGCAAUACCUGGUGGCGACCGGCGCAAGGGUGCGUAACGCGUGAGCAACAUGCCCUAUACAGGGGGAUAAUCCAGGGAAACUUGGUCUAAUAUCCCAUAGUAUUUAGAGGAGGCAUCUUCUAUAAAUUAAAGCUUCGGUGGUAUAGGAUUGGCUCGCGUGACAUUAGCUAGAUGGUGAGGUAACGGCUCACCAUGGCAAUGAUGUCUAGGGGUUCUGAGAGGAACGGCCCCCCACACUGGGACUGAGACACGGCCCAGACUCCUACGGGAGGCAGCAGUGAGGAAUAUUGGACAAUGGAUGGAAAUCUGAUCCAGCCAUGCCGCGUGCAGGAAGACAGCCCUAGUGGGUUAGUAAACUGCUUUUAUAGUGGGAGCAAUAAGGUCUACGUGUAGACUGAUGAGAGUACCAUAUGAAUAAGC
This 472-nucleotide ribosomal RNA is filed under the name uncultured bacterium. RNAcentral describes it as "bacterial SSU rRNA". It matches the Rfam family "Bacterial small subunit ribosomal RNA", at positions 28 to 491 of the family's 1533-position model. The record is from RNAcentral.